GAUGAACGCUGGCGGCGUGCUUAACACAUGCAAGUCGAACGAAGCACUUUGAUCGAUUUCUUCGGAAUGAAGUUUUAGUGACUGAGUGGCGGACGGGUGAGUAACGCGUGGGUAACCUGCCUCACACAGGGGGAUAACAGUUGGAAACGGCUGCUAAUACCGCAUAAGCGCACAGUACCGCAUGGUACAGUGUGAAAAACUCCGGUGGUGUGAGAUGGACCCGCGUCUGAUUAGCUAGUUGGCAGGGUAGCGGCCUACCAAGGCGACGAUCAGUAGCCGACCUGAGAGGGUGACCGGCCACAUUGGGACUGAGACACGGCCCAAACUCCUACGGGAGGCAGCAGUGGGGAAUAUUGCACAAUGGGGGAAACCCUGAUGCAGCGACGCCGCGUGAGCGAAGAAGUAUUUCGGUAUGUAAAGCUCUAUCAGCAGGGAAGAAGAAAUGACGGUACCUGACUAAGAAGCACCGGCUAAAUACGUGCCAGCAGCCGCGGUAAUACGUAUGGUGCAAGCGUUAUCCGGAUUUACUGGGUGUAAAGGGAGCGCAGGCGGAAGGCUAAGUCUGAUGUGAAAGCCCGGGGCUCAACCCCGGUACUGCAUUGGAAACUGGUCAUCUAGAGUGUCAGAGGGGUAAGUGGAAUUCCUAGUGUAGCGGUGAAAUGCGUAGAUAUUAGGAGGAACACCAGUGGCGAAGGCGGCUUACUGGACGAUAACUGACGCUGAGGCUCGAAAGCGUGGGGAGCAAACAGGAUUAGAUACCCUGGUAGUCCACGCCGUAAAACGAGGAAUAAUAGGUGUCGGAAGGCACCAGCUCUUCGGUGCCGCCGCAAACGCAUUAAGUAAUUCCACCUGGGGAGUACGUUCGCAAGAAUGAAACUCAAAGGAAUGGACGGGGACCCGCACAAGCGGUGGAGCAUGUGGUUUAAUUUGAAGCAACGCGAAGAACCUUACCAAGUCUUGACAUCCCGGUGACCGGACAGUAAUGUGUCCUUUUCUUCGGAACACCGGUGACAGGUGGUGCAUGGUUGUCGUCAGCUCGUGUCGUGAGAUGUUGGGUUAAGUCCCGCAACGAGCGCAACCCUUAUCCCCAGUAGCCAGCAUUUUGGAUGGGCACUCUGAGGAGACUGCCAGGGAUAACCUGGAGGAAGGUGGGGAUGACGUCAAAUCAUCAUGCCCCUUAUGACUUGGGCUACACACGUGCUACAAUGGCGUAAACAAAGGGAAGCGAGACCGUGAGGUGGAGCAAAUCCCAAAAAUAACGUCUCAGUUCGGACUGUAGUCUGCAACCCGACUACACGAAGCUGGAAUCGCUAGUAAUCGCAGAUCAGAAUGCUGCGGUGAAUACGUUCCCGGGUCUUGCAC
This 1362-nucleotide ribosomal RNA is filed under the name uncultured bacterium. RNAcentral describes it as "16S ribosomal RNA". It matches the Rfam family "Bacterial small subunit ribosomal RNA", at positions 28 to 1386 of the family's 1533-position model. The record is from RNAcentral.